Molecule: long non-coding RNA, 4498 nt
Organism: Acanthochromis polyacanthus (spiny chromis)
Lineage: Eukaryota; Metazoa; Chordata; Actinopteri; Pomacentridae
Exons: 5
Source: RefSeq, a predicted model, not a curated record
ACGACAUCGGAAUGCCAGAGGAAAUGCAAGGGACUUCCUCUAAGAGGAAUCCUCUUGUCCCAUAAACGAUAACGAAAGGAAGAGGAGGAGACGGACAGAAAGAGAGGGGGAGGAGGUGUGUAUGAAGGCAGAGAAGAGGAGCGAUGAAGCGGAAGCUCCUCAGAGAAGAGGAGCUUGAAGUCUGGAAAAGCCGAGUGGGAGGCAAAGGGGAAAUAAUAGGAGGUGUUGGGCUUUUGUACUUUCUGCAUCAAGGUCCGCUCUGGGUGAAAUGGAAGCGAUAUAGCGGAAAGGCUACGGACUCUGACGCAGGUGGUGCGGCUGGACGCAGUGUCGGUGCAGAGGAAACCCGUGGCCACUGAAUGAAACAACUGACAUUUUAGGCUGUCACUGGAAAGCAGCAUGCCCGCGAUCUGUCACACCGACCACAGAGUGUGAAGAGGGAGAAAGCGGCCAUGGACAUGCCCGAGGAUGAGUCGCUGUUGAAAAACCAGACGGAACAUGGGCCGGAGCCAAGCCAGGGGGCAGCCCGUCCUGCCUGGGCAAUUACGACGCUGGCCAGCGUGCUGAUCUUCACCACCGUUGUCGAUGUCCUGGGAAACCUGCUGGUCAUCGUGUCCGUGCUUCGAAACCGUAAACUACGAAAUGCGGGUACUGUGAAAUCACAAUAAGUGAGUUUGAGGCUGAUCCGAAUGCCUGUGGUCCUCCAUGCACCCCAGAGACAUAUGAUGCGGCAGAUGUCGAUCCCCAGGCUGAAAACAUCCAAGACGUCAGAGGAAUAAAGUGAAAAUAUGAGCGUCUCGGAACAAACUUUCCUAAAUGUCACCAUCGUGGAAGUCCUACCAGAACUUCAAGCAGUAAACAAAAGCAUCCUGGUAGAGCACUUGCAGUCCAUCGGAGUGGAGACAUAUGAUGAUCUAUGCUUCGUAACGGAGGCUAAUUGGAUGACAGCAUUAAGACCUGUACAAGCCAGAAAGCUUCUGUUUGGAAACAGAAAUACCAAACUCCCGAAAACAGCUCACCAUCAUCUGUGGCCUCACCUACCCAGUGGUUGUCAUUGCACUCUGUUUCACCCAAACAGUCAACUGACAUUGCAAAAAAAAAAAAAAAAAAAAAAAAAAAAGUGGCAAAAUAUCCCAAUUCUCUGCAAGAUGUAAUAGAGGGUGAUGUUGUUGGAACAGGUUACCAUUCCCCUCUCAAACAGUUGCAAUACCGAAUUGAAAAUGUGAGGCGCACUUCAACACCCAAAAUAAGAAAAGGAAAACAUCAGGCUGAUGACUCAGACACAGAUGAGAUCCCAUUAGAAGAGAGAGCGGCAAUGCAGGACACUUACAGGUACAUAAAAUGGAAUGCAAAAUUUUUGCCCUGUGAAGAAGCUCAAGAGAGCCAGCAGCAAAAGACGGAAAAACUGAAGGUGAUGUUCCAACACACUGAUGCCAAUCAAGAGGAGGUAAAAUGUCUAAUGAAGUCCACUUUUUACACACAGUGUCAACAUGUCAACCAGGGAAAAGUAUCAAAUGCCAUAGAGGAGUGGCCAUUUUUGUUUGAACUUGGCAUGUCAGUCUACUUCAAGGAACACACUGGGAUUGACCUCAAAGAGACAUUCACUUGAAAUUUGGAUUUGAAGAGGAAAAGGCUUCUCGACUACAUAACCACAGUUUGUGUCAGCAAGAGCAAGAAGUUACUUCAGACUUACACAAGGCUUCAGAGGAUGUGGGGACAGCAGAGUGGCUGCUCAGAUGAUAUGAAAGAGAUGCUCCUGCUUCUGCUCAGCUACUUUGAUGAGAAGGAGUCCAUGUUCUUCCAUGUCUGGCAGAAGAGGUUCAACUGGAGCAAGUGCCUCUGACACCCGCUGUUAUUGUCUGUGGAUGUUCCAUGAUGCAUGGGCACAUGCGUGGUGACCAAGCUCCCCGGAAAUUGGCGUCACCAUUCUUCAAAUGCUAUUUUUCCAAAAUGUUAAUCUGUUCCAUGGAUCUUCCACAGGACUCAAAUAAAUUAGUUCUAUUUCUGCGUCAGGCCUUCCUUUCUGCCUGCUCGCGAGACACUGGGAAGCGACAAUCAACUCUGAUUUGCCUGAUAACAAAUAAGCACAUGCACACUUCCAGUGCACUGAUUAGGCUGUGUAUUAUGGGGGGUAGAAAGGGGUUUAAGCCUAAAUAUGGACUCUUUCUGUGGACUGAAUAUUUGUUUGAGAAGAGGUACUGUUAGUUUGCACUUUGUUAAACCCACAAUAUGUAUUAUGAUAAUUAAGGCACAAUAUGUACUUUUUGUUUUAAUGUCUUAAAGGUGUACAUGUAAUGUUUUUGUGGUCUGCCACCUGCUGUUUCAUGAAGAUGUUCUUGCUUUGUAGGAAUAUACUACAAUAUGGUAUAAAACUUAUAUCUGUCUUGCAGUUAUUCAAUUAGAACAAUUUUCAUUGCAAAAAACUAUCUUAACAAACGUGCAUUCUUACUCUGAUGGGGCUUGCCUCUCUACAGAUCUGGGGCCUCAUUUAUAAAACAUUGCAUAGGAUCCAUACUAAAAAUUUGCGUACACCGAAAAUCUGAAAUGGGCGUACGCCGUUCGACCCUGAUUUAUAAAACUGUGCAUAAGCACAGCUGCACGCACUUCUUUAUAAAUCACACACCAGCUGGAAGAUUGCACAGGUGGAUCCACCUCACAUUCCGCCCACAACACAUCCACAUUUUACCAUGAAUGGUCAAUGCAAAGUAACUCAAGAAUGUAUCUGCGUAUAAAUAAGCUGCUGAUCCAUGGCAUUUUACGCAGCGCCGGUCUGCAGUCUUUUCCCUACACUGAGCGUGGUUGUGGUGUGACGCAUGUGGGCCUGCAUGCCUGUACAGGGCUGAUUAAUGGUUGGACGCUCAUCCCAUUCGGCCGCAUAUGGAUAAAUAAACAAAUAAUUUACUUUUUUUGCCUUUUUACUGUGAUAGUUGCAGUGAAGAGUGACAGAAAAUGGGGAGAAGAGUAGGGGGAAGACAUGCAUAAAAAGGCCGCAGGCAAGAAUCAAUUUGCAAAUGAGUCUUUUCACUGCUGUGCAUCAGGAUGAAUCAAUCAUGUGUUGACCCAGGCCACCCUGCCACUAAAUUUGUUAUGAUCAUGUCCGAUGUACAAAUAAUUUGUAAACUGAUUGAAUGUACAUUUUUUCAGUUCACAUAGACAAAUUCAUUUUCACUUGGAGCCCUUACAGCAACAUGAGUGCAGUCAGUUACGCCGAUUACAUUUGGGAAACCGGACAUCGCUGCAAAUUGCCGUUUAAUGUUGGCCUGUUCACCCACAGUGUAAGGAAACCUGAUGUAUUGACUGGUCAUGUUUAUAAUGUCAUCCAAAACAGCUGGCAUUAUUGCGCUGAGGGAUGGUUGUGAUAUCCCAGACCUAAAGGACAUCAUUUAACUGUAUAUCAGACCCAGAUAGGAUUUAGACAACAAAUUUAACCUCAUAUAUUCUUCAUAUAAAACACAUACCUGUCGGCCACUUCCCGCUGGAAGGAGCCGGUGUCGCCAGAAACCCCCGAGUCGUCAGCUCCUGUGUCUGUACCGGGAUGGCGUGGUUUCGACGGGUGGGUCUGUCUAAGCACAUAGAUCCAAGAGUACUGCUCUAGGGAAUUUGAAUCGGCUUAUUAGCCAGUCAUCGUCAUGGGCCAGGAAAUCCCCGUGAUCCCUAAAAUCUCUCUCCAUUCUUAACGUGAUCUUCCAGCAAUGCCAGCGCAUUCAUUGUGCCACAUUACACACGGCUGUCACCCGCUAUUUAUCCGCUUGAUCAGCGAUUGGACUGAUUGUCACACGCCUUUUCCAAAUUAGCAAUCAAUCAGUGCCACUCACCGCUCUAUAUCAUUUGAAGAUGGAAGUUUGAUAUAUGAACAUAGUUCUGCAAAUACAGUCGUAGGCCGAAUGGCGCACUAUAGGAACAUCUACAACAAUGAGGGUUUAUGAUUAUCCGGCUCUACAAGUCUAGUAUGUGAAAACAAUAAAGGUUUGAGAUCAAUCUGGUUUCAAUUCACCACUUCACCCUCCGGCACUGCCGUUCCCUCUGUCUCCAAAAUGUACGUAAACAAGCAUCAAAGUUGGCGCACCGGUGCGCACAUUCUCACACCAAGUUUGUUUUUAGAAAUCACAACGUACACAGUGUAUGCAACUUUCUACACAAAGGUUGUGAUUUACACCACUUUCUAGCCCUGUUUUGUCCGUACGCAAGCAUCAAGCAUCAAGGUUGGCGCACCGGUGCGCACAUUCACACGUUUGUUUUUAUAAAUCACAACCUUUGCGUAGAAAGUAGCCCUGUUUUGUGCAUACGCAAGCUUUAUAAAUGAGGCCCCUGACCUGUAACCUGGCCUUUUUGGCAUCACCUCAUUGUCUCCAUGAAGAUAGAUAAGUUUCAUGCUAUACUGUGUAACAUUGUUUAGUAUUUCAAGUUGGAUUCAGUCAUAGUUAAAAGAACCAUACAUGUAGCUUCUUUGCAUGCAGAAGAAAAAAUACAUAAAGUUAAAUAAAUAUCCCAAAAGUGA